CCUCAGACUUCCUAGCUCUAAAUCAUAUAUUAUUCUCUCUCCGUCUUACACCAUAUAGUAAAUCAGUCCCUUUAUAAACAAGAUUGCUUCAUAUGUGGCCCAAUGGAUGAUCAACCUAUAUCAGCCAUUCUCCUAUCCAAUGUGGCCAUACCCAUCAACUCUAGUAUCCCCAUUUUACAAAAAUUCACUGACAGCUGCCCUUUCAUACAGCAGGGCUAAACAGAUCUUGCUGGAACACCCCAACUAACACCCACACCAGCUCCCUUGCUCUCUACACCAUAUCAUUAUGGGGUCAGACUCUUCCAUGAGCCCCCCAGGAACUCACUUCUUAUGCCAAAAUAGUUCCCUCACAAUAUGCAUCAAUACUUCCACCCCAGGCCUUUGUGUCUUGAUUGUCCUUUCUAUCAUCUUAUUCUCUAUACUUCGGCAGAGAUGGCUGUAUUCAUUUUCCCUCCAUCCGUGACAACACAAUCUAAGUGGGCAGUCAUCCUUCCAGUCCUCCUAGGCAUUAGUAACCCUGGGGACAGAAGAGGGAGCUCUUGGACAUAGCCUUAACUUGGCCUCCCAACUUGACCAACUUGGCGAGGAAGUAGUCAGAUCCAUGGACACUUCAACUGAGGCUAUCUGCCUCCUACAAGCUCAGAUCCUGUCCCUGGCAGAAGUCACCCUACAAAACAGGAGGGCAAUAGAACUAAUAAUAGCCGAAAAGGGAGGCACCAGCCUUUUCCUUGGAGAACAAUGUUGUUACUAUGUCAACCAAUCAGGAAAAGUGGAACAAAACAUAGAAACCUUACAGAAUCUAACAGCUAUGCUCAAACUCAAGUUCUCUGGCCACUCCCUGCUUCCUCUCUCACCAGCCGAGGGAACCCAUCCUUCCUUGGGGUUUACCCCUUCUGGGAUCUCUGUCUGCCAUUUCUCUGCCUGACUUUUUUAUUAUCAUGUGUUUUUAAGUGUUUACAGGAAGCCAUCAUGAAAAGAACUAAGACCUUGACCAACCAAGUGGUCAAUGAGACACUUCUGAGGGAAUAUACUCUCCUGACAGAAGAAACCCCUCUAGGACCUGCCUCUGCCCCUGUUCCUCACCCCCAUGCCAGCAGGAAGUAGCCAAAGAAGAAGAAACCUCCAUGCAUAAACCACCCUAAUCCCCAAUAUUAAAACCAAAAGGAAGCUGUUGGCAUAUGAUUACAGCCAUCCUCCUUUCCCCACCCCCACUUUGUGAAUACUGUUCUUAUCCUCAAGAAACAGAAACUUGCCCGUCCUUGAGAUAGAAACUUGCCAGUCUUUGGUCUUGUUCUGUCCUGGAAAGAUAAAGACUUGCCCAUCUCUGUUCCCAAGAAACAGAAACUUGCCUUUGGCAAAAUCAGGUGAAGCUUGUUAUGCCAAUCACAAGGGCUACACCUGCCCCUAAUGGACAGCCAUGAUUCUGGCCUGUAAAAAGUAACACUCGUGGGAUUUUCUGCUGCUCUCCCUCACUGUCUGCUAAUGUAGCCUUAUCAGGUGCCUAACAAUAAAUCUGUUUUCUG
RNAcentral lists this long non-coding RNA (1523 nucleotides) under Marmota monax (woodchuck). The record is from RNAcentral. Lineage: Eukaryota; Metazoa; Chordata; Mammalia; Rodentia; Sciuridae.